AUACCUUUCUCGGCCUUUUGGAUAUGAUCAAGUGUAGUAUCUAUUUUUAUUAGUUUAAUAUCUAAUACGUGGGCCAUUGGCUCAUAUGAUCUUAAAUUAUUUAUUUCGGGGGAAGACGGUCACGGUAGCUUGCUUUUGGGGUCUUCGAGUGUCGCCCUUGUGUUGUUGUACUUCUGCUAGGGCCAGGCGCACCCAUU
This is a small nuclear RNA of Impatiens glandulifera, 197 nucleotides long. RefSeq annotates it as U2 spliceosomal RNA. The record is from RefSeq and is a predicted model, not a curated record. The transcript has a single exon. NCBI's taxonomy places the organism in Eukaryota, Viridiplantae, Streptophyta, Magnoliopsida, Ericales, Balsaminaceae.